Molecule: ribosomal RNA, 510 nt
Filed under: uncultured bacterium
Lineage: Bacteria
Description: partial 16S ribosomal RNA
Rfam family: Bacterial small subunit ribosomal RNA
Source: RNAcentral
GACGAACGCUGGCGGCGUGCUUAACACAUGCAAGUCGAACGAAGAGCGACGGAAGCUUGCUUCUAUCAAUCUUAGUGGCGCACGGGUGAGUAACGCGUAAUCAACCUGCCCUUCAGAGGGGGACAACAGUUGGAAACGACUGCUAAUACCGCAUACGAUCUAACCUCGGCAUCGAGGAUAGAUGAAAGGUGGCCUCUACAUGUAAGCUAUCACUGCAGGAGGGGAUUGCGUCUGAUUAGCUAGUUGGAGGGGUAACGGCCCACCAAGGCGAUGAUCAGUAGCCGGUCUGAGAGGAUGAACGGCCACAUUGGGACUGAGACACGGCCCAGACUCCUACGGGAGGCAGCAGUGGGGAAUCUUCCGCAAUGGACGAAAGUCUGACGGAGCAACGCCGCGUGAGUGAUGACGGCCUUCGGGUUGUAAAGCUCUGUUAAUCGGGACGAAAGGCCUUCUUGCGAAUAGUGAGAAGGAUUGACGGUACCGGAAUAGAAAGCCACGGCUAACUACGUG